AUUGAACGCUGGCGGCAGGCUUAACACAUGCAAGUCGAGCGGGGGCUUCGGUCCUAGCGGCGAACGGGUGAGGAAUGCUUGGGAAUCUGCCCAGUAGCGGGGGAUAACGUUUCGAAAGGAACGCUAAUACCGCAUACGCCCUACGGGGGAAAGGGGGGGAUCUUCGGACCUCUCACUAUUGGAUGAGCCCAAGUCGGAUUAGCUAGUUGGUGGGGUAAAGGCCUACCAAGGCGACGAUCCGUAGCUGGUCUGAGAGGAUGAUCAGCCACACUGGAACGGAGACACGGUCCAGACUCCUACGGGAGGCAGCAGUGGGGAAUAUUGGACAAUGGGCGAAAGCCUGAUCCAGCCAUGCCGCGUGUGUGAAGAAGGCCUUCGGGUUGUAAAGCACUUUAAGCGAGGAGGAAUGGCUGAGGGUUAAUAACCUUCAGCAGUGACGUUACUCGCAGAAUAAGCACCGGCUAACUCUGUGCCAGCCGCCGCGGUAA
Molecule: ribosomal RNA, 488 nt
Filed under: uncultured bacterium
Lineage: Bacteria
Description: partial 16S ribosomal RNA
Rfam family: Bacterial small subunit ribosomal RNA
Source: RNAcentral